This 253-nucleotide ribosomal RNA is filed under the name uncultured bacterium. RNAcentral's name for it is "partial 16S ribosomal RNA". It matches the Rfam family "Bacterial small subunit ribosomal RNA", at positions 524 to 776 of the family's 1533-position model. The record is from RNAcentral.
UACGUAGGGUGCAAGCGUUGUCCGGAAUUACUGGGCGUAAAGCGUGCGCAGGCGGUGAUGUAAGGCAGAUGUGAAAUCCCCGGGCUCAACCUGGGAACUGCAUUUGUGACUGCAUCGCUGGAGUGCGGCAGAGGGGGAUGGAAUUCCGCGUGUAGCAGUGAAAUGCGUAGAUAUGCGGAGGAACAUCGAUGGCGAAGGCAAUCCCCUGGGCCUGCACUGACGCUCAUGCACGAAAGCGUGGGGAGCAAACAGG